GCAUCAUGAUUUAGCAAGAAAACUACAAGCAAAGAGCCCUUUAGUUUGUAACCCCGAAACUGAGCGAGCUACUCCAAGACAGCCUAUAAAGGGCAAACCCGUCUCUGUGGCAAAAGAGUGGGAAGAGCUUUGAGUAGAGGUGACAAACCUACCGAGCCCAGUUAUAGCUGGUUGCCUGUGAAAUGAAUAGGAGUUCAGCCCUUUAAGUCUUUCCCCCCUCACCUAUGCUUACGCUAAAAUUGAUUAAGGAAACUAAAGGCGUUAAUCAAAAGGGGUACAGCCCUUUUGAUAGAAGAAACAACUUUAUCAGGUGACCCAAGAUCAUAUUACCCAAGGAUUUCAAAUUAAGUGGGCCUAAAAGCAGCCAUCUUACUAGAAAGCGUUAAAGCUCAAAUUAGCCAAUAUCCUCAUAUACUGAUAUUACAUCUCCCUCCCUGCCCCUUACCAGGCUGUCUUAUGCCCCCAUAAGAACAAUUAUGCUAAAAUGAGUAAUAAGAAGAAUUUAAUUCUUCUCCUAGCACAUGUGUAAGUCGGAACGGACCUCCCACCGACUAUUAACCGACCCCAAACCCAGAGGGAAAUAGGCUAAAAAAACAAGAAAUACACCUAUUUUGUAUCGUUAACCCCACACAGGAGUGCCUAAAGGAAAGACUAAAAGAGAAGGAAGGAACUCGGCAAACACAAGCCUCGCCUGUUUACCAAAAACAUCGCCUCUUGCCCCCAAAAUAUGAGAGGUCCCGCCUGCCCUGUGACUAUAAGUUUAACGGCCGCGGUAUUUUAACCGUGCGAAGGUAGCGUAAUCACUUGUCUUUUAAAUGAAGACCUGUAUGAAUGGCAUCACGAGGGCUUAGCUGUCUCCCAUCUCCAGUCAAUGAAAUUGACCUCCCCGUGCAGAGGCGGGGAUGAUUACAUAAGACGAGAAGACCCUAUGGAGCUUUAGACCUAAAGUAAGUCACGUUUAAUAUGCUAUGAUAACAGCGAAAACUUAGUGAUAUUUACUGAAGUGUCUUUGGUUGGGGCGACCGCGGGGUAAAACACAACCCCCAUGUGGACCGGGGAUAUUAUCCCUAAUACUCAGAGCCUCUACUCCAAGUAACAGAAAUUCUGACUUUUCUGAUCCGGUAUAACCGAUCAACGAACCGAGUUACCCUAGGGAUAACAGCGCAAUCCCCUCUCAGAGCCCAUAUCGACGAGGGGGUUUACGACCUCGAUGUUGGAUCAGGACAUCCUAAUGGUGCAGCCGCUAUAAGGGUUC
Molecule: ribosomal RNA, 1255 nt
Filed under: Hymenocephalus striatissimus
Lineage: Eukaryota; Metazoa; Chordata; Actinopteri; Gadiformes; Macrouridae
Description: partial 16S ribosomal RNA
Rfam family: Bacterial large subunit ribosomal RNA
Source: RNAcentral